GAUGAACGCUGGCGGCGUGCCUAAUACAUGCAAGUCGAGCGACCGGACGAGAAGCUUGCUUCUCUGCUGUUAGCGGCGGACGGGUGAGUAACACGUGGAUAACCUACCUAUAAGACUGGGAUAACUUCGGGAAACCGGAGCUAAUACCGGAUAAUAUUUUGAACCGCAUGGUUCAAAAGUGAAUGACGGCCUUGCUGUCACUUAUAGAUGGAUCCGCGCUGCAUUAGCUAGUUGGUAAGGUAACGGCUUACCAAGGCAACGAUGCGUAGCUGACCUGAGAGGAUGAGGGGGGAAACUGGAAGUGAGACACGGGACAGAGUAAUAAGGGAGGCAGAAGUGGGGAAUGGGGGACAAUGGGCGGAAGCAUGAUAAAGCCAGACAGCGUGGGGGAAGAAGGCCUGCGGGUGGGAAAGCACUGUUGUUGGGAAAGAAAAGCAGCAGGGGAAGAAAACGAGGGUCUGACGGUAACAAAAGAAGAAGCACCGGCUAACUUCGUG
This 497-nucleotide ribosomal RNA is filed under the name uncultured bacterium. RNAcentral describes it as "partial 16S ribosomal RNA". It matches the Rfam family "Bacterial small subunit ribosomal RNA", at positions 28 to 507 of the family's 1533-position model. The record is from RNAcentral.